Molecule: ribosomal RNA, 1174 nt
Filed under: Enterococcus faecium
Lineage: Bacteria; Bacillati; Bacillota; Bacilli; Lactobacillales; Enterococcaceae
Description: bacterial SSU rRNA
Rfam family: Bacterial small subunit ribosomal RNA
Source: RNAcentral
GGAGGGGCGGCUGCUAUACAUGCAGUCGAACGCUUCUUUUUCCACCGGAGCUUGCUCCACCGGAAAAAGAGGAGUGGCGAACGGGUGAGUAACACGUGGGUAACCUGCCCAUCAGAAGGGGAUAACACUUGGAAACAGGUGCUAAUACCGUAUAACAAUCAAAACCGCAUGGUUUUGAUUUGAAAGGCGCUUUCGGGUGUCGCUGAUGGAUGGACCCGCGGUGCAUUAGCUAGUUGGUGAGGUAACGGCUCACCAAGGCCACGAUGCAUAGCCAACCUGAGAGGGUGAUCGGCCACAUUGGGACUGAGACACGGCCCAAACUCCUACGGGAGGCAGCAGUAGGGAAUCUUCGGCAAUGGACGAAAGUCUGACCGAGCAACGCCGCGUGAGUGAAGAAGGUUUUCGGAUCGUAAAACUCUGUUGUUAGAGAAGAACAAGGAUGAGAGUAACUGUUCAUCCCUUGACGGUAUCUAACCAGAAAGCCACGGCUAACUACGUGCCAGCAGCCGCGGUAAUACGUAGGUGGCAAGCGUUGUCCGGAUUUAUUGGGCGUAAAGCGAGCGCAGGCGGUUUCUUAAGUCUGAUGUGAAAGCCCCCGGCUCAACCGGGGAGGGUCAUUGGAAACUGGGAGACUUGAGUGCAGAAGAGGAGAGUGGAAUUCCAUGUGUAGCGGUGAAAUGCGUAGAUAUAUGGAGGAACACCAGUGGCGAAGGCGGCUCUCUGGUCUGUAACUGACGCUGAGGCUCGAAAGCGUGGGGAGCAAACAGGAUUAGAUACCCUGGUAGUCCACGCCGUAAACGAUGAGUGCUAAGUGUUGGAAGGGUUUCCGCCCUUCAGUGCUGCAGCUAACGCAUUAAGCACUCCGCCUGGGGAGUACGACCGCAAGGUUGAAACUCAAAGGAAUUGACGGGGGCCCGCACAAGCGGUGGAGCAUGUGGUUUAAUUCGAAGCAACGCGAAGAACCUUACCAGGUCUUGACAUCCUUUGACCACUCUAGAGAUAGAGCUUCCCCUUCGGGGGCAAAGUGACAGGUGGUGCAAGGUUGUCCUCACCUCCUGUCCUGAAAAGUUUGGGUUAAAUCCCCCACCGAGCGCACCCCUUAUUGUUAAUUGCCAUCCUUUCAUUUGGGCACUCUUUCAAGAACUGCCGGUGACAAAACCGAAGAAAGGGGGGG